This 411-nucleotide unclassified non-coding RNA is filed under the name uncultured Basidiomycota. RNAcentral's name for it is "sequence contains ITS2". The stretch from base 1 to 155 matches the Rfam family "5.8S ribosomal RNA". The record is from RNAcentral. Lineage: Eukaryota; Fungi; Basidiomycota.
AACUUUCAGCAACGGAUCUCUUGGCUCUCGCAUCGAUGAAGAACGCAGCGAAACGCGAAAUGUAUUGUGAAUUGCAGAAUUAUAGUGAAUCCUCGAAUCUUUGAACGCAUCUUGCGCCCGGUGGCAUUCCGCCGGGCAUGCCUGUCUGAGUGUCCUUACUAUCUCAACCCCAGUGACUUUGUCAAGUUGCCGAGUGGAUUGGAACGUGGGCCAGGCAGGAACUUCUGCCGGUCUUAAAUGGAGUAGGCUAACCGAACAUGCAGCGGGUUGAUCGAGUGUUGUAGAGUCGCCUCACUUGGGACGCUGAUCGGAUUGGCUGAAUUGUAAUUACAAUUGAAUUACUCGAGCGAUUUAGACCUCAGAUCAGGUAGGAUUACCCGCUGAACUUAAGCAUAUCAAUAAGCGGAGGCU